CGAACAUAUAUGGCAGCACAUUACCCAUGUGAAGUACACCCAUAUAUACACUGAAUAUGUAUACACGGUUGCACUAGCUACCCACAAUUAAGUACUUCCAUAAAUACAUGUGUGCAACAUGUAAUUAUUCCAGUAACCACAGCUAACACUCCCCUAGACAGAUGGUUGGAUGGUCAUGCUCUCACAGCUCACACUUACCAUAGCAUAGAGGCAUAUAUGUAACACCCUAGGUGUUAAGCAUGCACUUAGUCUCAUCAAAGUCAUGCAUAAGCAUUCCCAUCAAGCCUA
Molecule: long non-coding RNA, 288 nt
Filed under: Sorghum bicolor (sorghum)
Lineage: Eukaryota; Viridiplantae; Streptophyta; Magnoliopsida; Poales; Poaceae
Description: long non-coding RNA (SBIC_LNC010858)
Source: RNAcentral